RNAcentral lists this ribosomal RNA (253 nucleotides) under uncultured bacterium. RNAcentral's name for it is "partial 16S ribosomal RNA". It matches the Rfam family "Bacterial small subunit ribosomal RNA", at positions 524 to 776 of the family's 1533-position model. The record is from RNAcentral.
UACGUAGGGGGCAAGCGUUGUCCGGAAUCAUUGGGCGUAAAGAGCGUGUAGGCGGCCCGAUAAGUCCGCUGUGAAAGUCCAGGGCUCAACCCUGGGAUGCCGGUGGAUACUGUCGGGCUCGAGUCCGGAAGAGGAGUGUGGAAUUCCUGGUGUAGCGGUGAAAUGCGCAGAUAUCUGGAGGAACACCGGUGGCGAAGGCGGCAUCCUGGACCAUUACUGACGCUGAUCCGCGAAAGCUAGGGGAGCAAACGGG